CCCGACCAUCUAAUAUAAUCUUGGGUGAGAAGGAAGACCUCCAAUACCAAUUACCCAGUACAAUAAAACAGUAGUAGCAUCGAGCACAUAAAUGAGUUAACAAAGUCUCGGCCACAUUUACUAAAUGAAAUGAAAAUUGAAUCGGUGAAAAGAUGAGAGCUCUACCCAAGCUUCUUGCAUUCCAGACUAGCCCAUUUUGAGAAAUAAUCAGGCCAGCCCAUAUAAGGCAUUCAAGAGUAUCGCUUCUGCCUCAACUUCCAAGAUGGUAAAUCUCUCCAAAGGCAAUGUCUAAGAUAAACAGAACUUUCAUAUUACAAGUUAAUCCAAAAAUU
Molecule: unclassified non-coding RNA, 332 nt
Filed under: Hevea brasiliensis (rubber tree)
Lineage: Eukaryota; Viridiplantae; Streptophyta; Magnoliopsida; Malpighiales; Euphorbiaceae
Source: RNAcentral